UACAUUCGUACAUAUGUUUACAUUUGUGUUUACUGAGCUAUUGGUGCAAAUGGAACAUUUAUUCACGACAAUUUAUUGUGGCUGUAUCAUUGCUAGACCGUGGUGAAUCAUACAAAGCUCUGGUUCGACUCGCUGCUUAUCGAAAAGACGUACAAAGGUCCACAAGAAUUGGCAAUAAUUUUAUCUGGUUGUGAUUUAUAUACUUACUGCUGCAUUGAAGCUGCUUACUGGCUUCAGAUUAUCACCUCUUCCCAUAUGGGUACGCUGCAUUACCAAGGAAAGCGCCAAUGAAGCAUGAGCGUGGUCACAAGAAAAUGAAAUGGCUGAUUUGCCUCAUCGCAAUAAAGCAACCAAUAUGGACCGGUCACUGUUACAAAAAUUUAUUUAUGAUUAUGAGUUAGAAAAUUCUACUAGCGUACGUAAAUAUGUAUAUGGCAAACGAGCUGCUAAGUCUCAACGCUUUUAUACCGCAAUGGCUAUAUAAUGACUAAAACUUAUGAAAUUUGCUAUAAAAACGUUUGACAUAAUUUAUUAAAAACAUGCAUACCAACAGUUGGCGAAUCGUCCAGAGUUAUUGUAUUUGUUCGUCAAACAUAAUCCCUUAAUUGAAGCUACCGAGUUACCACAUGCAUCGUUGGAAGCUAGAAGCGAAUAUUUCAGUUUUAAACAUACAAUUGCGAUUAUAAAACAAGAAAUUUUGUCUGCCAAGAAAUACAUUAGAUCUUUUGAUGCAUGGAUUGAAAUUGAAUGCUAAUUUAGAUAUCGAGUAUGAGCAGGAGCUCACAGAUUUAGAGGACGACAUACUGACCUAUAUCGAUACCACACAGCGCACAGCAAAGGAUAAAAUCAAAA
This is a long non-coding RNA of Anastrepha obliqua, 852 nucleotides long. RefSeq lists it as uncharacterized. The record is from RefSeq and is a predicted model, not a curated record. The transcript has 4 exons. NCBI's taxonomy places the organism in Eukaryota, Metazoa, Arthropoda, Insecta, Diptera, Tephritidae.